Centruroides sculpturatus (bark scorpion) is the source of this 940-nucleotide long non-coding RNA. RefSeq lists it as uncharacterized. Lineage: Eukaryota; Metazoa; Arthropoda; Arachnida; Scorpiones; Buthidae. The transcript is spliced from 3 exons. The record is from RefSeq and is a predicted model, not a curated record.
AAACAUUCGAUUCAGAAAUCGAACAUUAAUCCAGGUGAGAUUUCAGUGCGUUUGCCAGCGGGAUGUUUGGUGUUUAGCGCAGUCAUCUCGGGAGAAAGCGCCGAAUAUACCCAGCCAAACAUCGAUGUUCAAAUGUGUCCGUGACACACGCUUGCCUUCUGAAUAUCCCGCUAGCAAACCAAUCGUUUCAGAGACUUUCGCUCGCAAAUAUUUAACGUCAUUGCGAUGUAGCGAUGUAUUAAUGAGAAACAAAAACAUCACUAGCUACUGUUGGUUUUAAUGAAUUUUGAAUACGGUUUGAAGAAUAUAAAUGUUUAUAAAGAAUGGAUUGACAACAAAAAUUUAUUAACUUGAUAUUGGUGACGGACCAAGAUAGCAACCGUCCUCUCGAAUCCUGAUGAAUAUUUUCUACAAUUUCUCCAGGAGUAUUUUAUUACUGGCCAGAGAAGAAAAGAAAGAAAAAGACUCCACCAGGAUGAAAAUUUUUUAAUUUUUAUAUUACAAUCCUUUCGCUUCGUUUGGUUGAGAAUAUGUUUCCCAAAUUCAUUGAUCAACUUGCAAUUUGUAAAAUAUUUUAAGGCCAUCAUCAUGCAAUUCUAUCAACUCCAUUUUUCCUAUUGUUUCAUAAAGUAAAUUUUUGUAAAAUUUAUCAAGAGAAAUUGUGUCAGAAGAGUAAUUCAGUAAUUUGAACAGCAUUAGCAAUGCAUUUGCCUGACAUUUUUUAUCAACAGAUCAUAAAUAAUUAAAAUAAAAUCAAGAUAAUGAUCUAAAUUGUUCUUUAAUAACAUCUAUCUGUAAUCAAAUUUACAAGGUAAAAUUUGAUAAAUGGACUAAAAAUUAUUAAUUUCUCUAUUCAAACAAAACACAAUUAAAGGUUGUGAAAAAAGGACAAGAUGAAGACUUUUAUUGUUUCUUCCAAAUUGAUUAUUUUAUAUAGAAU